AUGGUGGCCGAGGAUGAUGAGGAUGGACAUAGAAGAUCUCAAGGGCUUCUUUGUAAUUUUUGUGCUUUUUUUUCUGCUCUUACUCCUGGACACCCGUACCUUCUCCACGUUUCCAGAAAAAUCUUGCCAGAGACUCACAGUCUGGCUACUGCUCCCGCGAUCAAAAUGGAACGCGACGGCGUGCAGAUCUUGUCCCGGCGCAUGGUCAAGCCAGAGCACCACGCGAGCUCGCGGCCGCCGGAGCCCGAGACCGUCCACCUCACGCCAUGGGACCUGCUGCGGAUCACUGUGGAGUACCUGCAGAAGGGCGUAGUCGUGCCCAAGCCUCCGGCCGGCAGCGCCCACGCCGUCGAACACCUUGCGUCGUCCUUCGCGCGCGCUCUGGCCCGCUUCUACCCACUCGCCGGCCGCUUCGCCGUCGCGCCCGUAGCCAGCGCGGACGCUCGGCCGGGCCUGACGAUCUCGAUCAGCUGCGACGACCAAGGCGCAGAGUUCGUCCACGCCGUGGCGCCCGGGGUCGCCGUCGCCGACAUCUCCGGCCCGCUCCGCGUCAUCCCGCGCGUGGUCUGGUCCUUCUUCCCUCUCAACGGGAUGCUCGGCGCGGACGCUGCCGUGGACCCCAGCCUGCCGCUCCUGGCCGUGCAGGUCACCGAGCUCGCCGACGGCGUCUUCGUCGCCAUGUCGCUCAACCACUGCGCCGCCGACGGGGAAACGCCGGUGGCCGUCCGGAGCGGCGCCGGGAACAAGGUGGACGGGUUGGUCUCGGUGUACGAGGGCAGCGAUGACGGCGGAAUGGAGCUGGAGGUGUGCCUCGCUCCUGGUGCGCUCGCCAAGCUCGUCGCCGACCAAGAGCUGAUGGACGCGUCGGUA
This 870-nucleotide ribosomal RNA is filed under the name Triticum aestivum (bread wheat). Its description in RNAcentral is "partial small subunit ribosomal RNA". Lineage: Eukaryota; Viridiplantae; Streptophyta; Magnoliopsida; Poales; Poaceae. The record is from RNAcentral.